UGAACACUUGAAAUCAGAAUGGCUCAGGAUACCCUAGUCAGCCAUUGAUAAAAAUAAUGUAGUUUAGGUUUUCCUUCUAUAUGCUGAAUCUAAAGAUAUUAAUGAAUGAUGGGCUAGAUUAAUAAAGGAAAUUAACCCUACAUUUGCACAAUUCAGAAGGAUUCUCUUUUCCUCAGUGUGUGACUGAGACUCUGACCUGGGUGCUGUUCAUCAGUGACUCAACCACGGACCAGAUACUGGCCUUUACAGGAAAAGGACAGAUGGACUGAAAAGCUAACCUGAGUCAACUCUGGUCCAUCUGAAAAUGCAACAAACAUCUAGAAGAAAUUAGAUCUGAUUUCCAAGAAGAAAAAAAGAAGAAAAACAAAAAAAACAUGCUUUCCUAUGUAC
RNAcentral lists this long non-coding RNA (390 nucleotides) under Phasianus colchicus (ring-necked pheasant). RNAcentral's name for it is "lncRNA (ENSPCLG00000015573.1)". The record is from RNAcentral. Lineage: Eukaryota; Metazoa; Chordata; Aves; Galliformes; Phasianidae.